Molecule: long non-coding RNA, 945 nt
Filed under: Junco hyemalis (dark-eyed junco)
Lineage: Eukaryota; Metazoa; Chordata; Aves; Passeriformes; Passerellidae
Description: lncRNA (ENSJHYG00000017710.1)
Source: RNAcentral
UAAAGAAUCUUCCAAAAAUCUAACCCAACCCUCUCCUCUUUCAGUUAAAGAGCUUGCCCUAUCACUAUCUGUACGUGUAAAAAGCCAGCCUCUCUUCUUUUAUACCCCCUUUUAAGUACUGGAUGGACACAAUGAGAUCUCACCAAAGCUUUCUGUUCUCCAGGCUGAACAACGCCAACUCUACCUUUCCCCCUAGGAGAGGUCCCUCUAACCAUCUUCAUGUUCCUCCUCUGGACUCAUUCCAACAGGUCCAUGUCAUUUUUGCAGGGCUGAGGACCCCAGAGAUGGAUGCAGUACUGAAGGCGGGAUCUUGUGAAAGCAGAGUAGAGGGCGAGAAUCACCUCCCUCAGCCCCCUGGACUCACCUCUUUAGAGCUAACUCUUUUCUGGCCUCUCUCCAUACACCAGUCUAGCAAUAUACAAAAGGCUGCUACACUUCAAGGUUAGGCUUCUUCAGUGUACAUCAUGCAGUAAAAUCUGUGAUCCAAGAGAAGACAGAAAACAGUAGACUCAACAAGAGGCAUUUCUCUUUGUUAUUACUAGAGGAAAAAUACUGGUUUUCUUGGGAAACCAUCUCACAGGUCCACUGAUCUCUGUAGUCUGUAUCACUGAAGACUUUAACUGAUCACGUUUGUAAGAUAAUUAUUUCCUAUCCAGCUCCUUCAGAAACAGAGCUGCUGUUGGACACAUGCCUUUCACCGGCUCCAGUGACAUCUGCAUCAAUUAGUAGUGCUUUUACAAGCAUUAACUCCAGCAUGAACUUUGAAAUUUUGGAAAUCUGUUGUGCCUACAGGGUAAAAGGUUGGUAAAAGACCAACCUUCUCCAACAUAUUGUCUGUUCAUCUCAGUCCUUAAAAUCCCAUUGCCUCUUAUCUCAGUCAGAAAAGAGAUUGUCUGCAAAUUGAGAGGAAUAUCAUGAAUAAAAAAGAUAACCUUUGGACUUGCA